AGGAUAAUAAGUUAAAAAAACUAAUUAAUUUGCAGUUAAUAAUUAUUAAAAAAAAUUUAUCUUA
RNAcentral lists this transfer RNA (64 nucleotides) under Diartiger fossulatus. Its description in RNAcentral is "tRNA-Ala". The record is from RNAcentral. Lineage: Eukaryota; Metazoa; Arthropoda; Insecta; Coleoptera; Staphylinidae.